GUUUCCGUAGGUGAACCUGCGGAAGGAUCAUUACUGAGUGAGGGCCCUCUGGGUCCAACCUCCCACCCGUGUUUAUUGUACCUUGUUGCUUCGGUGAGCCCGCCUCACGGCGGCCGGGGGGCAUCUGCCCCCGGGCCCGCGCUCGCCGAAGAAACCCUUGAACUCUGUCUGAAGUUUGCAGUCUGAGCGAAAACUAAAUAAGCUAAAACUUUCAACAACGGAUCUCUUGGUUCCG
Molecule: unclassified non-coding RNA, 235 nt
Filed under: plant metagenome
Description: partial contains small subunit ribosomal RNA, internal transcribed spacer 1, and 5.8S ribosomal RNA
Source: RNAcentral